AUUGAACGCUGGCGGCAGGCUUAACACAUGCAAGUCGAGCGGGGUGAUGGUGCUUGCACUAUCGCUUAGCGGCGGACGGGUGAGUAAUGCUUAGGAAUCUGCCUAUUAGUGGGGGACAACAUCUCGAAAGGGAUGCUAAUACCGCAUACGUCCUACGGGAGAAAGCAGGGGAUCACUUGUGACCUUGUGCUAAUAGAUGAGCCUAAGUCUGAUUAGCUAGUUGGUGGGGUAAAGGCCUACCAAGGCGACGAUCUGUAGCGGGUCUGAGAGGAUGAUCCGCCACCCUGGGACUGAGACACGGCCCAGACUCCUACGGGAGUCAGCAGUGGGGAAUAUUGGACAGUGGGGGGAACCCUGAUCCAGCCAUGCCGCGUGUGUGAAGAAGGCCUUAUGGUUGUAAAGCACUUUAAGCGAGGAGGAGGCUCUUUUGGUUAAUACCCAAGAUGAGUGGACGUUACUCGCAGAAUAAGCACCGGCUAACUCUGUGCCAGCCGCCGCCGUAA
RNAcentral lists this ribosomal RNA (503 nucleotides) under uncultured bacterium. RNAcentral's name for it is "partial 16S ribosomal RNA". It matches the Rfam family "Bacterial small subunit ribosomal RNA", at positions 30 to 523 of the family's 1533-position model. The record is from RNAcentral.